Molecule: long non-coding RNA, 786 nt
Filed under: Calidris pugnax (ruff)
Lineage: Eukaryota; Metazoa; Chordata; Aves; Charadriiformes; Scolopacidae
Description: lncRNA (ENSCPUG00000013365.1)
Source: RNAcentral
UCCAAGGCUAUAAAUCCAGAACCUUUCACCAGCUCUUACAGUAACUCACAUGUGCAGAACAACAGCGGGCUGUUUAUCCAAACAAGCGAAAGCAUCUGUAGCGGAGUUAAUGAUUUUGCAGCACCCCCGGUUACCCACCGGCUGCGGGGCUGGGAGCUGAGCUGGGGCUGGAGAGGAAAGCAGAGGCUUCAGGGACUUUCCUCAAACCUGUGAUUUCCGGAAGCGGAGUCCCUUCUACUCCUGCAGCGCUUUCUGGUUCCUGAAACCAGAUGGUUCUGAUGGUUCUGCACAGGACACCCCAAAACACAGGACCCCCCUCCAGUGCUGGGGCGAGGGCUGGCACGGCCAGGGGUUCCCCUGGGCUCCCAUCAGCACCCAGGCUGUGUGGGGUGCUGGCAUCUUUUGGAAGGAGGUGGGGAAAGUGAGUCAUUUGCAAACUAAGUGAGCAUCCUUAAUUGCAUCCAGCGCAGCUGACCUCGGUGGGCAAUGCAGAGGUGCAGACAAAGAUAGAAUUUAGCCAUUAAAAUGAAGUAAAGGCUGUAGUACUCUCCUAAAGCCUCUGAUUUCUUUUUUUUUUCCUAACAUCCAGCUUUUAGGAUGCUGGAGAAGACAGAGAUCCGCCCUCAAACACCGAUGUGCAUGAAAUGACUUAUUUCCAAUGAGUUCUUUGUGGUGUCUGCCUCUUUUGCAAUUAACCCUUCCAAAACUUGAAUGCCAAGUUAAAAAAAAUAAGGAGAAAUCAGAGCUUGGAUCCUAGAGCUGACCCUAUUUGUGCACACCUUGCUG